GGUUAAGCGACUAAGCGUACACGGUGGAUGCCCUGGCAGUCAGAGGCGAUGAAGGACGUGCUAAUCUGCGAAAAGCGUCGGUAAGGUGAUAUGAACCGUUACAGCCGGCGAUGUCCGAAUGGGGAAACCCAGUGCAAUUCGUUGCACUAUCGUUAACUGAAUACAUAGGUUAACGAGGCGAACCGGGGGAACUGAAACAUCUAAGUACCCCGAGGAAAAGAAAUCAACCGAGAUUCCCCCAGUAGCGGCGAGCGAACGGGGAGCAGCCCAGAGUCUGAAUCAGCUUGUGUGUUAGUGGAACGGUCUGGAAAGUCCGACGGUACAGGGUGAUAGUCCCGUACACCAAAAUGCACAGGUUGUGAACUCGAAGAGUAGGGCGGGACACGUGGUAUCCUGUCUGAAUAUGGGGGGACCAUCCUCCAAGGCUAAAUACUCCUGACUGACCGAUAGUGAACCAGUACCGUGAGGGAAAGGCGAAAAGAACCCCGGCGAGGGGAGUGAAAAAGAACCUGAAACCGUGUACGUACAAGCAGUGGGAGCACCUU
This 545-nucleotide ribosomal RNA is filed under the name Klebsiella aerogenes. RNAcentral describes it as "partial 23S ribosomal RNA". It matches the Rfam family "Bacterial large subunit ribosomal RNA", at positions 1 to 585 of the family's 2925-position model. The record is from RNAcentral. Lineage: Bacteria; Pseudomonadati; Pseudomonadota; Gammaproteobacteria; Enterobacterales; Enterobacteriaceae. RNAcentral also lists the same sequence under 4 other names.